Molecule: long non-coding RNA, 568 nt
Filed under: Mustela putorius furo (domestic ferret)
Lineage: Eukaryota; Metazoa; Chordata; Mammalia; Carnivora; Mustelidae
Description: lncRNA (ENSMPUG00000031886.1)
Source: RNAcentral
AUGGCCAGGGGCUGUCAGGAGCCCACGGCCCACAGCAUCUACUCACAGCAGAGGGAGGAGUGUGGGGGGAGGGCCCAGUACCCUGCCUUAGAUAGAAACCCCAAUGAACACUCACCGAACACUCACUGGAAGGAAGCAUGUGAGACCUCUGAGGGCAGUAUUCACGUGGUAGAAAUCUCUGCAUCUGACCUUGGAGAUAAACUUGCAGACCAUCACUCUGUAUCAACUUGCCAAACUUGUCAGAAUUGUCUACAAUUAGUAAUCCAUUUUCCUAGUUUACAGAAGCAGCAGCUAAAAUUUAGGGGAUAGUGCGUCUCAAGACAGGGUCAGCAGCAAAAAGAAGAGGAUAUUGCAAAGGGACUAUCAUUUCAGCAGAACCAAAAAGUAAGGUUCAACAAGCAGACAAUGGGCUGUUUGAAGAAAGGGAAGAAAACAGCCCCACAUACCUCAACAGCCCUUGAGGGCAUGAAUGCCACACCGAUUAAAAUAAUAGGAGUGGUGGCAGAGCACCACUCUUCUAAAAUGAUGUGGGGUCACAGUAUUGACUAAGAAGGUAGAGAAAUAUUUU